Molecule: ribosomal RNA, 253 nt
Filed under: uncultured bacterium
Lineage: Bacteria
Description: partial 16S ribosomal RNA
Rfam family: Bacterial small subunit ribosomal RNA
Source: RNAcentral
UACGUAGGGUCCGAGCGUUGUCCGGAAUUACUGGGCGUAAAGCGCACGUAGGCGGCUUGUUAAGUCAGGGGUGAAAUCCUGGAGCUCAACUCCAGAACUGCCUUUGAUACUGGGUAUCUUGAGUAUGGAAGAGGUAAGUGGAAUUGCGAGUGUAGAGGUGAAAUUCGUAGAUAUUCGCAGGAACACCAGUGGCGAAGGCGGCUUACUGGUCCAUUACUGACGCUGAGGUGCGAAAGCGUGGGGAGCAAACAGG